Molecule: ribosomal RNA, 323 nt
Filed under: uncultured Pseudomonadota bacterium
Lineage: Bacteria; Pseudomonadati; Pseudomonadota
Description: bacterial SSU rRNA
Rfam family: Bacterial small subunit ribosomal RNA
Source: RNAcentral
AUUGAACGCUGGCGGAAUGCUUUACACAUGCAAGUCGAACGGCAGCACGGGUGCUUGCACCUGGUGGCGAGUGGCGAACGGGUGAGUAAUGCGUCGGAACGUACCGAGUAAUGGGGGAUAACGCAGCGAAAGUUGUGCUAAUACCGCAUACGCCCUGAGGGGGAAAGUGGGGGACCGCAAGGCCUCACGUUAUUCGAGCGGCCGACGUCUGAUUAGCUAGUUGGUGGGGUAAAGGCCUACCAAGGCGACGAUCAGUAGCGGGUCUGAGAGGAUGAUCCGCCACACUGGGACUGAGACACGGCCCAGACUCCUACGGGUGGCUG